RNAcentral lists this long non-coding RNA (290 nucleotides) under Brassica rapa (field mustard). RNAcentral describes it as "long non-coding RNA (BRAP_LNC000533)". The record is from RNAcentral. Lineage: Eukaryota; Viridiplantae; Streptophyta; Magnoliopsida; Brassicales; Brassicaceae.
AAAAAAUUAAAUACAAAAGCAUUUUUAAAAAAAAAACACUAAGAGUUAGUGUUUACGAUUGUGUAAUUUAGGGUUUGAAGUUUGUUUUUACUCUUUUCAUUUGUUUUAUUUUGACUGGUCCCUAGAUUCACCUUUGAUUCUGUUGUGUAACCAAUUCAUAAUAAUUUAAUAUCUAAUUGUUAAAAAAAAAAAAUCAACGACUCAUAUUUCAACGGAGUAAACGCGAAGAAAGAUCAAUCAAGUGAGCUAUUUGGAAAUCAAAUUUUCUGAUUACGAACUUUCCUUGGAAC